GUAGCGCCACCGCAACAGAUCUUCUCCUCCUCCCUUUGGACCUUUUGCCUCAUCUGGAAAGGGGCCAGUUAGCCAGGCCCGGUGAGACCUCAUGGCCGAGACGACACCAGUGCCUGCUGCCCCAUUUCCGGGGGAGAGGCUGGGAGAGGCAGGAGCCCGGAAGGCGUCCCCCUCUCCUUGCCGGGCCUCAGUUUUCCUCAUCUGUGUUAGCUGGCCCCGGUCUCCAUGUUCCUUUUGGCUCUGAGAGUCUCUGGCUGUUGGUGGUCGGUCGGAAGAGCCAAUAGCCCGUGCCCCCAAACAAAGCCGGCCGCCCGUGGGGCUCGGGUCCCUUCCGGCGUGUCUCCCCUCUCGUGAGCCGGAGGAAUCCCGGACCGCUUCGGAGGGCUGGACUCACAGCUGGGCUGGACCCGGGGCUCUGUCACCUCAAUCUCCGUCCUCCCUCUCCCACCCCACCCCCUCCAUCCGCUCAGCCGGCCGUGCUCCCACACACAGGAACUUCCACCCCGUUCCUCUGGCCAGCCCCCCACCAACCAAACAACCCUACUUGGAAGACCUGAGUGAAGGCCUCCCUUCCCUGAAUGCUCAGAACGUGGAUGUCACCCGUGAACCCGAAGAAGCCCUGGAUACAGUGCCAGCUCACUACUAAGCACCUUGGGACAGGCCACAGAGCCGCUUCCUCCUACUCCCACGGCUAGAGGCUGGCCUACCCACCCGCAGAGGGAUCCGCCCCCACCCCCAUUCACCUUUCGGUCUCACAGCUGACCGGACCAAAGCUUCGCCCCUGUCUAGCGUUUCCGUUUUGGAAACUGAGGAAGAGAAGAGGGGAUGGGAGGCAGAGAACGAUAGUGAGGUGGGGCAGAGUUAGCUAGCGAUGCCCCUCCCAAGCAGGCCCCUGCCGAUGCUCCGUGGCAGCUGGCCCCCAGGAUGCCCGGGCACACAGCUGGGCCUUUCUGAGGUAAGGAGCAUCUCCAAGCACCCCCAAUGAUUCACGGGCCCAAACCAAAGCACUUGAGUCUCCCUGCUUUGUGGACUCAGCCUUCAAAACAAUAAAACUAUUGAGGGCUCCAAGUCUGGGG
RNAcentral lists this long non-coding RNA (1076 nucleotides) under Sarcophilus harrisii (Tasmanian devil). RNAcentral's name for it is "lncRNA (ENSSHAG00000021802.1)". The record is from RNAcentral. Lineage: Eukaryota; Metazoa; Chordata; Mammalia; Dasyuromorphia; Dasyuridae.